CCUACGGGUGGCUGCAGUGGGGAAUAUUGGACAAUGGGGGCAACCCUGAUCCAGCCAUGCCGCGUGUGUGAAGAAGGCCUUCGGGUUGUAAAGCACUUUUGUUGGGGAAGAAACCGGCCGGGUUAAUACCCUGGUUGAAUGACGGUACCCAAAGAAUAAGCACCGGCUAACUUCGUGCCAGCAGCCGCGGUAAUACGAAGGGUGCAAGCGUUACUCGGAGUUACUGGGCGUGAGUUGUUCGUACUCGGGUGAAAGCCCUGGGCUCAACCUGGGAACUGCAGUGGAUACUGGCGAGCUAGAGUGUGUCAGAGGAUGGUGGAAUUCCCGGUGUAGCGGUGAAAUGCGUAGAGAUCGGGAGGAACACCAGUGGCGAAGGCGGCCAUCUGGGACAACACUGACGCUGAGGCACGAAAGCGUGGGGAGCAAACAGGAUUAGAUACCCUUGUAGUC
Molecule: ribosomal RNA, 450 nt
Filed under: uncultured bacterium
Lineage: Bacteria
Description: partial 16S ribosomal RNA
Rfam family: Bacterial small subunit ribosomal RNA
Source: RNAcentral